RNAcentral lists this ribosomal RNA (512 nucleotides) under uncultured bacterium. RNAcentral describes it as "bacterial SSU rRNA". It matches the Rfam family "Bacterial small subunit ribosomal RNA", at positions 36 to 507 of the family's 1533-position model. The record is from RNAcentral.
CUGGCGGCGUGCCUAAUACAUGCAAGUCGAACGCACUCUCGUUUAGAUUGAAGGAGCUUGCUCCUGAUUGAUAAACAUUUGAGUGAGUGGCGGACGGGUGAGUAACACGUGGGUAACCUGCCCUAAAGUGGGGGAUAACAUUUGGAAACAGAUGCUAAUAGCGCAUAAAACCUAACACCGCAUGGUGUAGGGUUGAAAGAUGGUUUCGGCUAUCACUUUAGGAUGGACCCGCGGUGCAUUAGUUAGUUGGUGAGGUAAAGGCUCACCAAGACCGUGAUGCAUAGCCGACCUGAGAGGGUAAUCGGCCACACUGGGACUGAGACACGGCCCAGACUCCUACGGGAGGCAGCAGUAGGGAAUCUUCCACAAUGGACGAAAGUCUGAUGGAGCAACGCCGCGUGAGUGAAGAAGGUUUUCGGAUCGUAAAACUCUGUUGUUGGAGAAGAAUGUAUCUGAUAGUAACUGAUCAGGUAGUGACGGUAUCCAACCAGAAAGCCACGGCUAACUACGUG